CCGCCCGUCACACCAUGGGAGUUGAUUGCACCAGAAGCAGGUAGCCUAACCGCAAGGGGGCGCCUACCACGGUGUGUUCAAUGACUGGGGUG
RNAcentral lists this ribosomal RNA (92 nucleotides) under uncultured bacterium. RNAcentral's name for it is "partial 16S ribosomal RNA". It matches the Rfam family "Bacterial small subunit ribosomal RNA", at positions 1390 to 1482 of the family's 1533-position model. The record is from RNAcentral.